UUCGGAAGAGUGUUGCAGGCAAUAACGGUGGCCUUCCAGCCAAUUCUGGAGGGCUGCAGGUUGCAAAUCUUGAUGCCUUGUCACAACAAACUAGUCGAGCCAUCCCUAACCUCCAAUCAAAAGUUGAGUGGAGGCCUUUUGAAAAAACUCUUCCAUCAAAAGUCCAUUUACGUCAGGCCUGACAAGGUCAUUUUGAGUGAGGAAAACCAAUCUCCAUCUUCUGAGGAAGACAGCCAUGCAGAGAGCCUUGAUUUUGCUCAAAUGUCAGACAGUGACAAAUGUGGUAAAUUAAUUUACAGUAUUUACAGUACAUGCAUCUACAAACAAGUUUAUAUCAUAUUGGUCACAACUCGUUGUGCAGGAUAAUAGGGAUAUAAA
Long non-coding RNA from Perca flavescens (yellow perch), 378 nucleotides. RefSeq lists it as uncharacterized. Lineage: Eukaryota; Metazoa; Chordata; Actinopteri; Perciformes; Percidae. The transcript has 3 exons. The record is from RefSeq and is a predicted model, not a curated record.